GUUUAUCCCGCGGUAGGUUGUCUUCGCCUCUAAGCCAGUGCGUGGAAUUUAUAUCACACUGUGGACUAACGUCGUCCUUUAUUGUAGCCUGGUGUUGUGAUCAUCUCCUCCUUCGCUGACCUCGAGAACGGUUGUUCACUCUAGUUCCAGUGAGGACGCACGUUCCCGCGGCAGCCUGUGUCUCCGAGUAACACACAACCCGGCCUGGUGGAGGGCUGGAGUCACCACACGAGCUGCUGUCUUGUCUUGUCGUUCUUUUGUUUUGGUUUAUACGAGUUUUGCGGUCCGUGUUUUAUUUCAGUACCUGGUCAUAGUCGUGCACAGCACGCGUUUAUUCCUGUGUUCUGUUUAUAUCGUUUGCAUGUGUAUAAUUAUUUUAGUACUUCAGGUAUCCUGUGAGAGGGGAAUCUAACUUGCCUGUAGUUUCCCUGUAUGUGUGUUUGCCCUACAGCUGGGGUCGACUGGUGUUUUCAUAUUUUCUUUAUCCCCUUUUGUUUGUAUGAGCAGGCAUUGUGCUAUCCUGGAGGGGGGCUAGUCACCUGGUGGUGGAGUCCCGUCAGUGCAUAUUCACGUGUGAUCAUUGGUUGCUGUGUGGUUGCUGUGUCACUCUGGUCACUUUUCGUGUGCUGUGCCGUGUUUGCCUUCACAAGGGUGGUGUGAGUCCUGAAGCACACUUCCCAGUUAGCCUGCCGCCCCUCUAAGGUAAGUCUCUGCCUGCUAUAGUUUGUUUCCAUUUAAUUCCCUUCCCUAGCGUGUUUGUCAGCCCUGAACCUCAGGGUGCUGAUUGUUUAAGCCUUUUUAUUGAUUAUUAAAUAAAUGCCUUUUCUACUUUGACUAACCUCUCAGUCUGUCUAGGUCCAUCCCUUCCUCUAUACGCAUUCACCUCAUAAUAACAUAUCUUUAUAAUAAAUAGCAUCUUGUGGAAUUCACGACUCUUGUGUGGUGUGUGUUUCGAACCUGUUCUCAAGGGCUGAUGUGCCUAUUAGGACAUUUAGUUUAAAUAUUCUCUGGGUGCAAUUCCCAGGGUGGCGUAGUUGGCUACUUAAACAGGGCUGUGGGGUUCCCCUUUAUAGCUCCUGUUACAUAUAUAUCCGCUGAACCUAAUGAUGCGACAGCCAUAAACUCCAUUACCAACUGUUUAUUGGCAAUAAACAAAUGGAUGAACGAUAACUUUCUAAAA
Long non-coding RNA from Clupea harengus (Atlantic herring), 1180 nucleotides. RefSeq lists it as uncharacterized. Lineage: Eukaryota; Metazoa; Chordata; Actinopteri; Clupeiformes; Clupeidae. The record is from RefSeq and is a predicted model, not a curated record. The transcript is spliced from 2 exons.